GCAAGUCGAACGAAGUCUUCGGACUUAGUGGCGGACGGGUGAGUAACACGUGGGAACGUGCCUUUAGGUUCGGAAUAACUCAGGGAAACUUGUGCUAAUACCGAAUGUGCCCUUCGGGGGAAAGAUUUAUCGCCUUUAGAGCGGCCCGCGUCUGAUUAGCUAGUUGGUGAGGUAAAGGCUCACCAAGGCGACGAUCAGUAGCUGGUCUGAGAGGAUGAUCAGCCACAUUGGGACUGAGACACGGCCCAAACUCCUACGGGAGGCAGCAGUGGGGAAUCUUGCGCAAUGGGCGAAAGCCUGACGCAGCCAUGCCGCGUGAAUGAUGAAGGUCUUAGGAUUGUAAAAUUCUUUCACCGGGGACGAUAAUGACGGUACCCGGAGAAGAAGCCCCGGCUAACUUCGUGCCAGCAGCCGCGGUAAUACGAAGGGGGCUAGCGUUGCUCGGAAUUACUGGGCGUAAAGGGAGCGUAGGCGGACAUUUAAGUCAGGGGUGAAAUCCCGGGGCUCAACCUCGGAAUUGCCUUUGAUACUGGGUGUCUUGAGUGUGAGAGAGGUAUGUGGAACUCCGAGUGUAGAGGUGAAAUUCGUAGAUAUUCGGAAGAACACCAGUGGCGAAG
RNAcentral lists this ribosomal RNA (617 nucleotides) under uncultured bacterium. RNAcentral describes it as "bacterial SSU rRNA". It matches the Rfam family "Bacterial small subunit ribosomal RNA", at positions 57 to 720 of the family's 1533-position model. The record is from RNAcentral.